UUUUGACCCGUCCUGAAACACGGACCAAGAAGUCUAUCUUGCGCGCGAGCCAAUGGUACUCAGUUGAAACACCAAAGGCGCAAAAAACAUAACUUGAAACUGUGCGGGAUUACGGGCGAGACUCUCUGCUCGUCCCUCCAUCCCCGGGUGUUAUACCAGGCAUGCCGGGGGCCUCGCGCCCUCGGUGCCAUAACAUACCGCGAGUGUGCAGGAUGUGACCCGAAAGAUGGUGAACUAUGCCUGAUCAGGUUGAAGUCAGGGGAAACCCUGAUGGAGGACCGAAGCAGUUCUGACGUGCAAAUCGAUUGUCAGAAUUGGGCAUAGGGGCGAAAGACCAAUCGAACCAUCUAGUAGCUGGUUUCCUUCCGA
RNAcentral lists this ribosomal RNA (369 nucleotides) under Culex quinquefasciatus (southern house mosquito). Its description in RNAcentral is "partial large subunit ribosomal RNA". It matches the Rfam family "Eukaryotic large subunit ribosomal RNA", at positions 642 to 964 of the family's 3401-position model. Lineage: Eukaryota; Metazoa; Arthropoda; Insecta; Diptera; Culicidae. The record is from RNAcentral.